AUUGAACGCUGGCGGCAUGCCUUACACAUGCAAGUCGAACGGUAACGGGCCUUCGGGUGCCGACGAGUGGCGAACGGGUGAGUAAUACAUCGGAACGUGCCCGAUCGUGGGGGAUAACGAGGCGAAAGCUUUGCUAAUACCGCAUACGAUCUACGGAUGAAAGCCGGGGACCGCAAGGCCUUGCGCGGACGGAGCGGCCGAUGGCAGAUUAGGUAGUUGGUGGGAUAAAAGCUUACCAAGCCGACGAUCUGUAGCUGGUCUGAGAGGAUGAUCAGCCACACUGGGACUGAGACACGGCCCAGACUCCUACGGGAGGCAGCAGUGGGGAAUUUUGGACAAUGGGCGCAAGCCUGAUCCAGCCAUGCCGCGUGCAGGAUGAAGGCCUUCGGGGUGUAAACUGCUUUUGUACGGAACGAAAAGCCUUCUUUUAAUACAGGAGGGUCAUGACGGUACCGUAAGAAUAAGCACCGGCUAACUACGUG
This 482-nucleotide ribosomal RNA is filed under the name uncultured bacterium. Its description in RNAcentral is "partial 16S ribosomal RNA". It matches the Rfam family "Bacterial small subunit ribosomal RNA", at positions 30 to 507 of the family's 1533-position model. The record is from RNAcentral.